UACGUAGGGAGCGAGCGUUGUCCGGAAUUACUGGGUGUAAAGGGAGCGUAGGCGGGAUUGCAAGUCAGAUGUGAAAUGUAUGGGCUUAACCCAUAGACUGCAUUUGAAACUGUAGUUCUUGAGUGAAGUAGAGGUAAGCGGAAUUCCUAGUGUAGCGGUGAAAUGCGUAGAUAUUAGGAGGAACAUCGGUGGCGAAGGCGGCUUACUGGGCUUUUACUGACGCUGAGGCUCGAAAGCGUGGGGAGCAAACAGG
This 253-nucleotide ribosomal RNA is filed under the name Ruminococcus champanellensis 18P13 = JCM 17042. Its description in RNAcentral is "partial 16S ribosomal RNA". It matches the Rfam family "Bacterial small subunit ribosomal RNA", at positions 524 to 776 of the family's 1533-position model. The record is from RNAcentral. Lineage: Bacteria; Bacillati; Bacillota; Clostridia; Eubacteriales; Oscillospiraceae.